Molecule: ribosomal RNA, 477 nt
Filed under: Treponema denticola
Lineage: Bacteria; Pseudomonadati; Spirochaetota; Spirochaetia; Treponematales; Treponemataceae
Description: bacterial SSU rRNA
Rfam family: Bacterial small subunit ribosomal RNA
Source: RNAcentral
GAGUUUGAUUCUGGCUCAGAACGAACGCUGGCGGCGCGUCUUAAGCAUGCAAGUCGAACGGUAAGGGAGAGCUUGCUCUCCCCUAGAGUGGCGGACUGGUGAGUAACGCGUGGGUGACCUGCCCUGAAGAUGGGGAUAGCUAGUAGAAAUAUUAGAUAAUACCGAAUGUGCUCAUUUACAUAAAGGUAAAUGAGGAAAGGAGCUACGGCUCCGCUUCAGGAUGGGCCCGCGUCCCAUUAGCUGGUUGGUGAGGUAAAGGCCCACCAAGGCAACGAUGGGUAUCCGGCCUGAGAGGGUGAACGGACACAUUGGGACUGAGAUACGGCCCAAACUCCUACGGGAGGCAGCAGCUAAGAAUCUUCCGCAAUGGACGAAAGUCUGACGGAGCGACGCCGUGUGAAUGAAGAAGGCCGAAAGGUUGUAAAAUUCUUUUGCAGAUGAAGAAUAAAACACAGGAGGGAAUGCCCUGUGAGAUGA